RNAcentral lists this transfer RNA (72 nucleotides) under Neisseriaceae bacterium. RNAcentral describes it as "tRNA-Glu". It matches the Rfam family "tRNA". Rfam says of the family: Transfer RNA (tRNA) molecules are approximately 80 nucleotides in length. Lineage: Bacteria; Pseudomonadati; Pseudomonadota; Betaproteobacteria; Neisseriales; Neisseriaceae. The record is from RNAcentral.
GGCCCGUUCAUCUAGCGGCUAGGAUGCAUGAUUUUCAGUCAUGAAACGGGGGUUCGAUUCCCCCACGGGUCA